CUUCCAGUAGCACCUUAGAGACCAACUAAGUUUGUUAUUGGUAUGAGCUUUCGUGUGCAUGCACACUUCUCCAGAUAUGCACACGAAUGCAAACUUAGUUGGUCUCUAAGGUGCUACUGGAAG
Molecule: non-coding RNA, 123 nt
Organism: Podarcis lilfordi (Lilford's wall lizard)
Lineage: Eukaryota; Metazoa; Chordata; Lepidosauria; Squamata; Lacertidae
Source: the annotation of a GenBank genome assembly